This 86-nucleotide transfer RNA is filed under the name Chloroflexota bacterium. Its description in RNAcentral is "Chloroflexi bacterium (sediment metagenome) tRNA-Ser". It matches the Rfam family "tRNA". From Rfam's summary of the family: Transfer RNA (tRNA) molecules are approximately 80 nucleotides in length. Their secondary structure includes four short double-helical elements and three loops (D, anti-codon, and T loops). Further hydrogen bonds mediate the characteristic L-shaped molecular structure. tRNAs have two regions of fundamental functional importance: the anti-codon, which is responsible for specific mRNA codon recognition, and the 3' end, to which the tRNAs corresponding amino acid is attached (by aminoacyl-tRNA synthetases). tRNAs cope with the degeneracy of the genetic code in two manners: having more than one tRNA (with a specific anti-codon) for a particular amino acid; and 'wobble' base-pairing, i.e. permitting non-standard base-pairing at the 3rd anti-codon position. Lineage: Bacteria; Bacillati; Chloroflexota. The record is from RNAcentral.
GGAGAGGUGGCCGAGUGGUUGAAGGCGGCUGUCUUGAAAACAGCAAGGCGCAAGCCUCGGGGGUUCGAAUCCCUCCCUCUCCGCCG